This 483-nucleotide ribosomal RNA is filed under the name uncultured bacterium. RNAcentral's name for it is "partial 16S ribosomal RNA". It matches the Rfam family "Bacterial small subunit ribosomal RNA", at positions 30 to 506 of the family's 1533-position model. The record is from RNAcentral.
AUUGAACGCUGGCGGCAGGCCUAACACAUGCAAGUCGAGCGGAUGAAGGGAGCUUGCUCCUGGAUUCAGCGGCGGACGGGUGAGUAAUGCCUAGGAAUCUGCCUGGUAGUGGGGGAUAACGUCCGGAAACGGGCGCUAAUACCGCAUACGUCCUGAGGGAGAAAGUGGGGGAUCUUCGGACCUCACGCUAUCAGAUGAGCCUAGGUCGGAUUUGCUAGUUGGUGGGGUAAAGGCCUACCAAGGCGACGAUCCGUAACUGGUCUGAGAGGAUGAUCAGUCACACUGGAACUGAGACACGGUCCAGACUCCUACGGGAGGCAGCAGUGGGGAAUAUUGGACAAUGGGCGAAAGCCUGAUCCAGCCAUGCCGCGUGGGUGAAGAAGGUCUUCGGAUUGUAAAGCACUUUAAGUUGGGAGGAAGGGCAGUAAGUUAAUACCUUGCUGUUUUGACGUUACCAACAGAAUAAGCACCGGCUAACUUCGU